Molecule: ribosomal RNA, 1506 nt
Filed under: Epimeria sp. 4 MLV-2017
Lineage: Eukaryota; Metazoa; Arthropoda; Malacostraca; Amphipoda; Epimeriidae
Description: partial 28S ribosomal RNA
Rfam family: Eukaryotic large subunit ribosomal RNA
Source: RNAcentral
CAGCCCAGCGCAUAACCUCCCGGGCUACCAAGCCUGCGGCGGAAUGUUGCGUAAAGGGAAAGGUCGUAUACAAGCCCUGCACUACAUGGCCUAAGUUUGGCUUGAAUUUCUCACUGUAUCCUAACGGCUACAACGGCUCCACAGAGGGUGUCAGACCCGUGAGGCUAUGUGAUUAAAUGUGCAUGGGUUCGGCUUUAUUCCCUGAGAGUCGCGUUGCUUGAGCAUGCAGCGCUAAGCAGGUCGUAAACUCGACCUAAGGCUAAAUAUAUUCACAGAACCGAUAGUAAACAAGUACCGUGAGGGAAAGUUGAAAAGUACUCUGAAGAGAGAGUCAAAAGACCGUGAAACCGCUUAGAGUAUAAGCCAAUGGUAUUCUGGAAUGCUGGAGUUGCCCUAGCAAAAUUGUACCCGAUUGUGGGUUACGUCAAACGGGUAUCGUGUGAGCGAGAGAACAUGAAGGCUGAUGGGCAAUCGAACCGAAAAGUGGAAUUGAGUUUAUACCACGGCACCCAAAUCUCGCGGGUCUCUGACAGUGGUAACAGGGAACGUUCGUGAGGAACUGAACCGAGGCUGGGCUUGAGCGAGCAUCAGUUUCUAAGCCCACUAACGAUAAACUUUCUAUACAGCACACCACAAUCCUUUAUAAGGUCUCCCUCGUGAGGUGUGGUCAUAGAGAGAGUGAGAGAGAAAGAGAUUUAUGUCCCAACUUUCUCUCUCUGUCUGUGUUUGCGAGUUGUGUCGCGUUAUGUGCCCUCUUGUUGUAUGUGCGCUUUGGCAGCGUGCUCCAAGUCCCGUACACAUGUGUAUAUAACGGCUUUGGCUUGCCUGGGUAUAUGCAUUCGGGAAAUGUUGGUUGCAAGAGGGCCGGCCAACUUUGCACUGCACCGUUCCAGACACGAACGGAAUGAUCCUAUGUGAAGAUUGAUUCUGACCAGCCGAUACCGGGAGUCAUACUUUGGCAGAGUAUGGUGAGCUAACGCACGGGAGUCCCCCGGCGCCUGGUACAUUAGCCCCUCAUGUUGGUCUCUAAUGAGGGACAGGAUUGCAUAUGCAUCCUCGUUGUCCGUCCUGCUAGAUGACUGGCUUUGGGGUGUGCUGGGAUCACGUUGGGAGUUUAGUCAUACCGUCGGGUUCAGGCUGCUUGGUGCAUUAUUCCAGAACCAUUGGUCACGUCUCGAAACACGGGCCAAGGAGCAUAGCAUGUGCGCAAGUCUAAGGGAUAAGAAAUCCUGGAGGCGAAGUGAAAGCAAAUGGUGUGUUUAUGAGUGUGCUCCCUCACGGGGGUGCGCUUGUAUUCAGCCUGCGAUGAGCGUAAUUCCUACACCUGCGUGUGUGGAUGACUGCGUCUCGCGGCUUAUACUGUGUUGAUCCCGAAUCGUAAUCAAGCCAAAUUGGCGAUACGCUGGCGCAAACACCAGGCUCUCAUAUGUGGGUAUUUGUUUAUCCUCGAGAGCACUGUGGAGCGUGCAUGCUAUAACCCGAAAGAUAGUGAACUAUGCCUGGCGA